CGCAGCCGCGGUAAUUCCAGCUCCAAUAGCGUAUAUUAAAGUUGUUGCAGUUAAAAGCUCGUAGUUGAAUUUCGGGGUUAGUAGGUUGGUCGUGCCACUGGUACGUACUGGUCUCACUGACUCCUCCUUCCUGAUGAACUGUAAUGCCAUUAAUUUGGUGUUGCGGGGAAACUGGACUGUUACUUUGAAAAAAUUGAGUGUUUAAAGCAAGCUAACGCUUGAAUACAUUAGCAUGGAAUAAUGAAAUAGGACGUUCGAUCCUAUUUUGUUGGUUUCUAGGAUUGACGUAAUGAUUAAUAGGGAUAGUUGGGGCAUUAGUAUUCAAUUGUCAGAGGUGAAAUUCUUGGAUUUAUGAAGACUAAUACUGCGAAAGCAUUU
Molecule: ribosomal RNA, 378 nt
Filed under: uncultured Glomus
Lineage: Eukaryota; Fungi; Glomeromycota; Glomeromycetes; Glomerales; Glomeraceae
Description: SSU rRNA
Rfam family: Eukaryotic small subunit ribosomal RNA
Source: RNAcentral